Long non-coding RNA from Tribolium castaneum (red flour beetle), 566 nucleotides. RefSeq lists it as uncharacterized. The transcript has 2 exons. The record is from RefSeq and is a predicted model, not a curated record. Lineage: Eukaryota; Metazoa; Arthropoda; Insecta; Coleoptera; Tenebrionidae.
CAGGGGGUACGGGGGCAUCCUGUAGGGGGGCGGUGUGAGACAGCCUUGUUGGGACGAAAUAGGCUGUUGGGGUAGAGGUUUUGGGGGUGGAACCGGUUUGUAGGGCCCAUAACCUUCCACCUCAACUGCAACAAAGACACAAGUUGUCAAUUUUUUUUUUGACAAAUGCGCCAAAAACUCAUCGUCACAUUUUUCCUAAUUUUAAUUCGUCCAAAUUUCGCACUAAAAUGCUACGAGUGUCAGGGCAUGGCCCAGUGUGAGUCGCGUAAAUGGAACAUUACGACGUGCCGGAAAAAUGUUGCUUCAUGUUUUAGUGUCGUUGAUUUGAAAGCGGGGGAGGUACGGAAGGGAUGCAAAACUCGCGAGUAUAAUAUUUACAGAUGUGAGGAGAUAAACACCUCUUUGGCGUUUUGCACAUUCUGCAGAGGGGAACGGUGCAAGAUUUGUGAAAAAGAUUUGUGCAAUGCUAGUACCAAACACUCUCCUCGAAAUCAUCUAGUACUACUGGCAAUUUUUAUAAUUUGCUUGUCGCAGUUUUACGAAGAAAAUGAUUUCUAAAACUUAAA